Non-coding RNA from Mycena alexandri, 91 nucleotides. The record is from the annotation of a GenBank genome assembly. NCBI's taxonomy places the organism in Eukaryota, Fungi, Basidiomycota, Agaricomycetes, Agaricales, Mycenaceae.
GGCUCGGUGGUGGAUGGUCCAUUCCUGUCUUCUGUACCAGGUUGCCAGCUGACUUGAGCAGGAGAAGCCUGUUCGAAUCAGGCCCGAGCCC